RNAcentral lists this transfer RNA (71 nucleotides) under bacterium. RNAcentral describes it as "tRNA-Gly". It matches the Rfam family "tRNA". Rfam says of the family: Transfer RNA (tRNA) molecules are approximately 80 nucleotides in length. Their secondary structure includes four short double-helical elements and three loops (D, anti-codon, and T loops). The record is from RNAcentral.
GCGAGCGUAGUUUAAUGGUAAAAUAACUCCCUUCCAAGGAGUGGACGCGAGUUCGAUUCUCGCUGCUCGCA